GUUUGAUCCUGGCUCAUGACGAACGCUGGCGGCGUGCUUAACACAUGCAAGUCGAGCGGAGUAAAUAGGGGCUUGCUUUUCUUUACUUAGCGGCGGAUGGGUGAGUAACACGUGGGCAACCUACCCUAUGGAGGGGAAUAACAGGGAGAAAUCUUUGCUAAUACCGCAUAGAUCCAAAGUUUUGCAUAAAGCUUUGGAAAAAGGAGAAAUCCGCCAUAGGAUGGGCCCGCGUCCCAUUAGCUAGUUGGUGAGAUAACAGCCCACCAAGGCGACGAUGGGUAGCCGACCUGAGAGGGUGAACGGCCACAUUGGAACUGAGACACGGUCCAGACUCCUACGGGAGGCAGCAGUGGGGAAUAUUGCACCAAUGGGGGAACCCUGAUGCAGCAACGCCGCGUGAGCGAUGAAGGUCUUCGGAUGUAAAGCUCUGUCUUCGCUGACGAUAAUGACGUAAGCGAGGAGGAAGCAGGCUAAUACUGCCACACCGCGGUAAUACUAGGUGGGAGCGUUGUCCUGGAAUUACUGGGCGUAAAGGGUGCGUAGGCGUUUUUAAUGGGAUGUGAAAUCGCUGAGCUUAACUUCAGAAUUGCAUUCAAACUGGAAGGUAAGACAGGAAGGAAAGCGGAAUUCCCAGUGUACGGGAAAGCGUAAGAUUGGGAGGAACACCAGUGGCGAAGCGGCUUUCUGCUGUAAUGACGCUGAGGCACGAAGCGUGGGGAGCAAACAGGAUUACGAUACCUGGUAGUCAGCCGUAAACAGAAUACUAUCGUGUGGAGGGCUAAGCCCUCUGUGCCGCAGUCUAACACAUUAAGUAUUCGCCUGGGAGUACGAUGCAAGAUUAAAACUCAAGGAAUUGACGGGGACCCGCACAAGCGCGAGCAUGUGUUUAUUCGAUGCAACGCGACAGACACUUACAAGCUUGACAUCUAAAGAAUCUAUAGAGAUAUUGAGUGCCCGCAAGGGAGCUUUAAAAGUGGUCGCAUGGUUGUAUUCAGUCUUCUCUGUCGAUGAGCAUGUUUAGGUUGUCCUGCCACGCAUGCCAACCUACUUUAGUUGGCUAACAUUCACCUACAGUUGAGCACUGUUACAGGUAACGUACUGCUACGGUAACUUAGAGGAAGGUGGGGAUGACGUCAAAUCAUCAUGCCCUUUCUUCUCUGGGCAACACACGAUCUACAAUGGUCGGUACAAAGAGAAGCAAUACCGCGAGGAGGAGCAAAUCUUAAAAACCGAUCCCAGUUCGGAUUGCAGGUUGCAACUCGCCUGCCUGAAGCCGGAGUUGCUAGUAAUCGUGAAUCAGCAUGCCACGGUGAAUUCGUUCCCGCGUCUUGUACACACCGCCCGUCACACCAUGACAGUCAGUAACACCCGAAGUCAGUGGGCUAACCGUA
RNAcentral lists this ribosomal RNA (1391 nucleotides) under uncultured Clostridium sp. RNAcentral's name for it is "bacterial SSU rRNA". It matches the Rfam family "Bacterial small subunit ribosomal RNA". The record is from RNAcentral. Lineage: Bacteria; Bacillati; Bacillota; Clostridia; Eubacteriales; Clostridiaceae.